UAAAAAGGGAAAUGUGAAUGCAAAAGAGGAAGCUGAAGAAUCCAAUCCUAAACCAUCAUUGCCAGAUAAGCUGGAGACUGCCAGUGGAGAAGCUUCUGUUGUGGAAGAUAAGGAAGAACAGGACAAUGGAAAUUCGAAUAAGAGGAAGGGUGAAGAAAGUAAUGAUACUAAGGAAGCCUCAUCCGAACAAAAAAGGCAAAGAAUCAAACUUAAUCAUCUUUUAAGUGCAGAUGAUACUCAAGAAGAUGAAAACUUGUAAGGAAAGAUUUUAGCAGAAGACUAACCUUUUAAACAAGCACCCCAACCGAUGCUGCUGUAUUAAAUGUUAUACAAGUUGAGGUAAUUCUUGUGCCUUUAUUGUUUUGCUGUAGCUAAGUCGAAUAAAUUAACCAGUGAAAGUAGUCCAGUGUUGUUUUUAUUCCUGAGAAGAGAUUGAGAAACAGGC
This 445-nucleotide unclassified non-coding RNA is filed under the name Hevea brasiliensis (rubber tree). Lineage: Eukaryota; Viridiplantae; Streptophyta; Magnoliopsida; Malpighiales; Euphorbiaceae. The record is from RNAcentral.